RNAcentral lists this ribosomal RNA (791 nucleotides) under uncultured bacterium. Its description in RNAcentral is "bacterial SSU rRNA". It matches the Rfam family "Bacterial small subunit ribosomal RNA", at positions 8 to 796 of the family's 1533-position model. The record is from RNAcentral.
AGAGUUUGAUCAUGGCUCAGGAUGAACGCUAGCGGCAGGCCUAAUACAUGCAAGCUGAACGGCAAGUUGAGUAGCAAUACUUGACCUAGAGUGGCGCAAGGGUGCGUAACACGUAUGCAAUCUGCCCUCAACAGGAGGAUAGCUCCCCGAAAGGGGAAUUAACACUCCAUAAGACCGCACGAAGGCAUCUGAGAGCGGUUAAAUCUACGGAGGUUGAGGAUGAGCAUGCGGAUGAUUAGCUAGUUGGUGCGGGUAACGGCCCACCAAGGCGAUGAUCAAUAGGGGAACUGAGAGGUUUAUCCCCCACACUGGCACUGAGAUACGGGCCAGACUCCUACGGGAGGCAGCAGUAGGGAAUAUUGGACAAUGGGCGCAAGCCUGAUCCAGCCAUGCCGCGUGCAGGAAGAAGGCCUUCUGGGUCGUAAACUGCUUUUCUCUGGGGAUAAAAAGCCCGUGCGAGGGAAAUUGAAGGUACCUGGUGAAUAAGCCACGGCUAACUACGUGCCAGCAGCCGCGGUAAUACGUAGGUGGCAAGCGUUGUCCGGAUUUAUUGGGUUUAAAGGGUGCGUAGGCGGUUGAUUAAGUCAGUUGUGAAAUACGGCAGCUUAACUGUCGAGGUGCAAUUGAUACUGGUUGACUUGAGUACAGACGAGGUAGGCGGAAUUGACGGUAGCGGUGAAAUGCAUAGAUAUCGUCAAGAACACCGAUAGCGAAGGCAGCUUACUAGACUGUAACUGACGCUGAGGCACGAAAGUGUGGGGAUCAAACAGGAUUAGAUACCCUAGUAGUCC